GCCGCGUGAGUGAUGAAGGUUUUCGGAUCGUAAAACUCUGUUGUUAGGGAAGAACAAGUGCGAGAGUAACUGCUCGCACCUUGACGGUACCUAACCAGAAAGCCACGGCUAACUACGUGCCAGCAGCCGCGGUAAUACGUAGGUGGCAAGCGUUGUCCGGAAUUAUUGGGCGUAAAGCGCGCGCAGGCGGUUUCUUAAGUCUGAUGUGAAAGCCCCCGGCUCAACCGGGGAGGGUCAUUGGAAACUGGGAAACUUGAGUGCAGAAGAGGAGAGUGGAAUUCCACGUGUAGCGGUGAAAUGCGUAGAGAUGUGGAGGAACACCAGUGGCGAAGGCGACUCUCUGGUCUGUAACUGACGCUGAGGCGCGAAAGCGUGGGGAGCGAACAGGAUUAGAUACCCUGGUAGUCCACGCCGUAAACGAUGAGUGCUAAGUGUUAGAGGGUUUCCGCCCUUUAGUGCUGCAGCUAACGCAUUAAGCACUCCGCCUGGGGAGUACGGUCGCAAGACUGAAACUCAAAGGAAUUGACGGGGGCCCGCACAAGCGGUGGAGCAUGUGGUUUAAUUCGAAGCAACGCGAAGAACCUUACCAGGUCUUGACAUCCUUUGCCACUUCUAGAGAUAGAAGGUUCCCCUUCGGGGGACAAAGUGACAGGUGGUGCAUGGUUGUCGUCAGCUCGUGUCGUGAGAUGUUGGGUUAAGUCCCGCAACGAGCGCAACCCUUGAUCUUAGUUGCCAGCAUUCAGUUGGGCACUCUAAGGUGACUGCCGGUGACAAACCGGAGGAA
Molecule: ribosomal RNA, 784 nt
Filed under: Metabacillus idriensis
Lineage: Bacteria; Bacillati; Bacillota; Bacilli; Caryophanales; Bacillaceae
Description: bacterial SSU rRNA
Rfam family: Bacterial small subunit ribosomal RNA
Source: RNAcentral